Molecule: ribosomal RNA, 492 nt
Filed under: uncultured bacterium
Lineage: Bacteria
Description: partial 16S ribosomal RNA
Rfam family: Bacterial small subunit ribosomal RNA
Source: RNAcentral
AGUGAACGCUGGCGGUAGGCCUAACACAUGCAAGUCGAACGGCAGCACAGUAAGUGCUUGCUGUUACGGGUGGGGAGUGGCGUACGGAUGAGGUAUAUAUCGGGACCUACUUUUUCGUGUGGGUUAAGGUAGGGGGACUUAAGCUAAUACAGGAUACGACCUAGGGUUGAAAGCAGGGGAUCUUCGGAGCGUGCGCGGAUGAAUGAGCGGAUGUUGGAGUAGCUGGUUGGCGGGGUAAAGGCCCAGGAGGGCGGCGAUAGGUAGCUGGUCUGAGAGAAGGAUCAGCCACACUGGAGGUGAGACAGCGUCCAUACUCCUACGGGACGCCGCAGUGGGGAAUAUUAGACAAUGGUCGCGAACCUGAUCCAGCCAUACCGCGUGGGUGAAGAAGGCCUUCGGGUUGUGAAGCCCUUUUGUUGGGAGAGAAAAGCAGCAGGUUAAUACCCCGCUGGUCUGACGGUACCCAAAGAAUAAGCACCGGCUAACUUCGUG